GGAUGCUUAGCUCAGUUGGGAGAGCAUCGCCCUUACAAGGCGAGGGUCACUGGUUCAAGUCCAGUAGCAUCCACCA
Molecule: transfer RNA, 76 nt
Filed under: Alteromonas sp. C1M14
Lineage: Bacteria; Pseudomonadati; Pseudomonadota; Gammaproteobacteria; Alteromonadales; Alteromonadaceae
Description: tRNA-Val
Rfam family: tRNA
About the family: Transfer RNA (tRNA) molecules are approximately 80 nucleotides in length. Their secondary structure includes four short double-helical elements and three loops (D, anti-codon, and T loops).
Source: RNAcentral